GGCGACGCCGAGCGGACCCGAAAAAGGACGCCUCAGUUCGGAUUGGAGUCUGCAACCCGACUCCAUGAAGCUGGAUUCGCUAGUAAUCGCGCAUCAGCCACGGCGCGGUGAAUACGUUCCCGGGCCUUGUACACACCGCCCGUCAAGCCAUGGGAGCCGGGAGUGCCUGAAGUGCGCGGCCGCGAGGAGCGCCCUAGGGCAAGACUGGUGACUGGGGCUAAGUCGUAACAAGGUACC
This 237-nucleotide ribosomal RNA is filed under the name uncultured bacterium. Its description in RNAcentral is "partial 16S ribosomal RNA". It matches the Rfam family "Bacterial small subunit ribosomal RNA", at positions 1256 to 1500 of the family's 1533-position model. The record is from RNAcentral.